This 104-nucleotide small nuclear RNA is filed under the name Monodon monoceros (narwhal). Lineage: Eukaryota; Metazoa; Chordata; Mammalia; Artiodactyla; Monodontidae. The record is from RNAcentral.
GUGCUCGCUUCAGCGGCACAUAUGCUAAAAUAGGAAUGAUACAGAGAUUAGUAUGGCCCCUGCACAAGGAUGACACAGAAAUUCGUGAAGCGUUCCAUAUUUUU